Vulpes vulpes (red fox) is the source of this 1626-nucleotide long non-coding RNA. The record is from Ensembl. Lineage: Eukaryota; Metazoa; Chordata; Mammalia; Carnivora; Canidae.
UGGGACUCCUCCAGAGACACGGAGACCACUGAGGCAGAGCUGGGACUGGUAUCCUACAAGGCAGUUUUCCCUCUCCCUCUCCAGGGUCCACUCCAACCAGCCAGCGGUAGUCUCCCAAAGAGCCGGGUUGAGGAAGAUCCUGAAGUGCAGCAAAGCUCUUGGGGAGAAAGAUGCUCUGCCGUGAACACGAGGGUGCUGGUGGUGGUGUGUCUGCAGCCCUCCUGCUCCCCACCACUCACCUCCACCACUCCACCCCUUACUCCACCACGGUUUUGCCUGCCGGGGAUUAAUGCCUUCACUGAUAGUAAGGAAAAGAAACUUCACGGCGUUGGUGUUUGCAGCCCUUGGCCUACAAUCCUCCCACGUGUGUCUGCAACCUCUCUCCUAUCAGAGUGGAUCUCCAGGUUCUUUGAGGAUCAUCCCUGUAACUUCUAUAGUAGCCACCGCCCCCAGUUCCCUACAAUACCUGCUAUGGGACUGUUGACUAAAGACGCCUCGGUAUGUGACCGGCUGUCACUUCCAACAAAAUCUUUGAAGAUGAUAACAGCUCACCCGAGACGAGGACAGCAGUGUAUAAAGAGGCAGACGCCAGACAAGAGACUUUUUUCUUGUGACAGUUUGAGCUCCCCUGCUGCAAUUAACUUUUUCUCCCCCUCCUUCUCCUCCUUCAUCUCAUGCAAUGCGGUUCAGAAAAAGGGGGCCUGUAUUUUCCUCCUGCUGAUGGAAGUUGAUUAGCAGUCAGGUGGAGUGAUGCUCAGGGGACAACACAGCGGAUUAAUUAAAUCACUUCUACUGGCUAAGUGGUGACACUUUGAUUUAUAGCAGAACUCACUCAACCAGACAGCAGCUUUUCUUGCAUGCCGAAGGAGGAAGGGCCAAAGUGGCCACUGGUUGGAGGCCGAGGGCUUUGCAAACUUUAAAGACAAGCGUCCUAGUCAUUAAAGCAGAGGCCCCUGCUGGGCUCCUCUCUUUGGGGCGGGGAGGCCUGCAGGCUCAGGAGAGGAACCAGAGAGAAGGGAGCAGCUGAGGCUGGCCUGCAAGCUGCUGAGGAGCAAGAAGACCCGUUUCAGAACACACAGAACUCUAUUACACCCCUACAGAAAAAGCAACCUCGAAACGGCAGGAUCAUCUCUAUGUCUGUUGGGUGUUUUGUUUUGUUUUGUUUUGAAGUAAUAUCUAUGCCCAACGUGGGGCUCAAACUCACGACCCCGAGAUCAAGAGUCGCAGGCUCCAUCAACUGAGCCAGCCAGGAGUCCCUCUAGGUCUGUUUUUACUGGACUGCUCGUCGGUAUUGCAUCUUGGCUCACCCGCAGGAAAUAGCCCCGUGAUGGUCCUACCAUAGGGACUCCGGGAUAUCUGUGACUCUUCCAUUGCCGCCUGGAGUCUUCUCAAUGAGGAGCCCUCAGACCAAAAUGCACGCGACAGCUGUGCUUCUGGUGCCAUGUUUUCUGUUAUGAGGUGGCUAUAAUCCUAUUUCGCUCUUUGCUUUGGCUACUAAGAAGGCCAGAGCUGAACAUGCAGCCCAAACUGCAAGCCCUCACACAUGCUCUGUGUAUGAACUCUUUAUGGAUCCAUCUCGCCCAACUUCCCUUUCCCUAGAAAACUCCUGUUUCUCUUAUCUUAAAA